This 393-nucleotide ribosomal RNA is filed under the name Propylea japonica. Its description in RNAcentral is "partial 16S ribosomal RNA". Lineage: Eukaryota; Metazoa; Arthropoda; Insecta; Coleoptera; Coccinellidae. The record is from RNAcentral.
UCAUUAGUUUUUUAAUUGAAAGCUUGUAUGAAUGGUUUGAUGAGAAAAUUUCUUUCUAUAUUUAAUUUUUAAAUAAUUUUAUUUUUAAGUUAAAAAGCUUAAAUAUUAAUAAAAGACGAGAAGACCCUAUAGAGUUUAAUAUAAUUUAAUAUUUAAAAAUUUAGAAUUUAUUAUUAUAUAAUAUUAUCUUGUAUUUGAUUGGGGUGAUUAAAAAAUUAAAAUAACUUUUUUUAAAAAAAAACAUUAAUUUAUGAGUAUUUGAUCCAUAUAAAUGAUUAAAAGAAUAAAUUACCUUAGGGAUAACAGCGUUAUUUUUUUUUAGAGUUCUAAUCGAAAAAAGAGAUUGCGACCUCGAUGUUGGAUUAAAGUUAAUUUUAGGUGCAGAAGCUUAAA